GGAUCUGGAGGCAGAAAGGGAAACCUAAAUUCAACAAUGGAUCUUGUCGUAGUCAGGCCAGCACAACAGACAAACUGAUCUCCACAAAAUGAAGCAGCCAUCAUGGAAAAGUGUUGUAGUCACCCCUGAAAAUUAAAGAUACAAUCCCACGGGACUACCUGGCCAGCCAUCAUGUACACCCCUUUCCAGAUGAGGAAACGAGGCGCCAAGAUGCAAAAAUCGCUCUGAAAGCUCCCCAGACAGGAGGUGAGGGUAUCUGUGGAAAGGCUCUUAAACACCCCCAAACCUACACUUAGGGCCUCAGGGAAGGCAAAGAGGGCCUGGAACAUGGAAUGGAGGGCAGGAGACUGCACUGAACCCUAACUGUGCUGAGUCCAUCUCUGGACUCGUGUAUCAGUACCCAAUGACUCAGGGGCAUAAGAGCACAGACCACCUAAGAAAAGACGGCUGAGGCUAAGGUCGCCACCACCACCAGGCCUAACUAUGACUCUGGGGGUCUCAGUUCAGAGCCCU
Long non-coding RNA from Jaculus jaculus (lesser Egyptian jerboa), 513 nucleotides. RefSeq lists it as uncharacterized. The transcript is spliced from 3 exons. Lineage: Eukaryota; Metazoa; Chordata; Mammalia; Rodentia; Dipodidae. The record is from RefSeq and is a predicted model, not a curated record.